This 351-nucleotide ribosomal RNA is filed under the name Silvania hatchlandensis. RNAcentral's name for it is "partial 23S ribosomal RNA". It matches the Rfam family "Bacterial large subunit ribosomal RNA", at positions 1 to 389 of the family's 2925-position model. Lineage: Bacteria; Pseudomonadati; Pseudomonadota; Gammaproteobacteria; Enterobacterales; Enterobacteriaceae. The record is from RNAcentral.
GGUUAAGCGACUAAGCGUACACGGUGGAUGCCCUGGCAGUCAGAGGCGAUGAAGGGCGUGCUAAUCUGCGAUAAGCGUCGGCGAGGUGAUAUGAACCUUUGACCCGGCGAUACCCGAAUGGGGAAACCCAGUGCAAUCCGUUGCACUAUCAUGUCAUGAAUACAUAGUGGCAUGAGGCGAACCGGGGGAACUGAAACAUCUAAGUACCCCGAGGAAAAGAAAUCAACCGAGAUUCCCCCAGUAGCGGCGAGCGAACGGGGAACAGCCCAGAGUCUGAAUCAGCAUGUGUGUUAGUGGAACGGUCUGGAAAGUCCGACGGUACAGGGUGAUAGUCCCGUACACAAAAAUGCA